GACGAACGCUGGCGGCGUGCUUAACACAUGCAAGUCGAACGGAAAGGCCCUGCUUUUGUGGGGUGCUCGAGUGGCGAACGGGUGAGUAACACGUGAGUAACCUGCCCUUGACUUUGGGAUAACUUCAGGAAACUGGGGCUAAUACCGGAUAGGAGCUCCUGCUGCAUGGUGGGGGUUGGAAAGUUUCGGCGGUUGGGGAUGGACUCGCGGCUUAUCAGCUUGUUGGUGGGGUAGUGGCUUACCAAGGCUUUGACGGGUAGCCGGCCUGAGAGGGUGACCGGCAACAUUGGGACUGAGAUACGGCCCAGACUCCUACGGGAGGAAGCAGUGGGGAAUAUUGCACAAGGGGCGGAGGCCUGAUGCAGCAACGCCGCGUGCGGGAUGACGGCCUUCGGGUUGUAAACCGCUUUCGCCUGUGACGAAGCGUGAGUGACGGUAAUGGGUAAAGAAGCACCGGCUAACUACGUG
Molecule: ribosomal RNA, 468 nt
Filed under: uncultured bacterium
Lineage: Bacteria
Description: partial 16S ribosomal RNA
Rfam family: Bacterial small subunit ribosomal RNA
Source: RNAcentral